CCAGUUUGCAGCACUUUAAUUUUUUUUGGAAAUUUUGAACAUUUGUGCUGCAACCAUGGUUACAGUAGAUAAUUCCAAAAUUCUAAAAGCGUACAUCUCAUUGCCACAUGUCAUGUUAUAUAUCAAUACAGUUUCAUUUACUUUGGUGCACAACUCUCUGAAAAAAUGCUGAUUUUAUGCAUUUUUCCAUAGGGUCAAUGCAAAACUUGCUCCCAGUUUCCAUGACAACGGCGGCCAUUUUGGACUAUCCAAAUAUUGUCUUGAUAUCUUAGCAUACUGGGUAACAUUUUCAUAAAGUUUCAUCCAGUUGGGUCUUAUAACGAAAGAGUUAGAAUUUUUGAUAUUUUAGCUUGUUUCCAUGGUAACAGCGGCCAUUUUGGAAAUUCCAAAGUCAAAUGGGACAUCUCCAUAUGCCAGUCAAUAUUUGUGUGAAGUUUCAUUAACUUUGGAGCAUUUUGAUUUUUUGGACAUUUUUGCUGUUUCCAUGGUAACGGCGGCCAUCUUGAAAAUGCCAUACCCCGAUUGCAAAUCUGCACAUGCUGGUUAACAUUAUGGUUAAGUUCCAUUAACAUUGGUUCAUAAAAUUCCAAGAUAUAAGCUGGACAAAAAUAGUGGAAGAAAAAAAAUAAAAAUAAGAAAAAAAGAAACGUAGAAAAGCAAUAUGUCACCCCAACUCCGUUGAGGGUGCCAUAAUAAAAGAAAAAAAGAAACGAACAAUAACAAGAUGUCACCCCAACUCCGUUGAGGGUGCCAUAAAAAGAAUCGAACAAUAACAAUAUGUCACCCGACCUCCGUCAGGGUGACAUAACUAUAAAAA
RNAcentral lists this long non-coding RNA (817 nucleotides) under Mytilus galloprovincialis (Mediterranean mussel). Lineage: Eukaryota; Metazoa; Mollusca; Bivalvia; Mytilida; Mytilidae. The record is from RNAcentral.